This 69-nucleotide transfer RNA is filed under the name Rattus norvegicus (Norway rat). It matches the Rfam family "tRNA". Rfam says of the family: Transfer RNA (tRNA) molecules are approximately 80 nucleotides in length. Their secondary structure includes four short double-helical elements and three loops (D, anti-codon, and T loops). The record is from Rfam by way of RNAcentral. Lineage: Eukaryota; Metazoa; Chordata; Mammalia; Rodentia; Muridae.
GGGGGUUUAGCUCAGUGGUAGAGCGCUUGCCUAGCAAGCACAAGGCUCUGGGUUCGGUCCCCAGCUCCA